Non-coding RNA from Schistosoma margrebowiei, 77 nucleotides. The record is from Rfam. Lineage: Eukaryota; Metazoa; Platyhelminthes; Trematoda; Strigeidida; Schistosomatidae.
AGUUUCUAAAUCUGUGCCGGGAUUUCGUCAUGUACCAGGUCAUCAGGACUGAUGAGACUUUCAAGAUAAGUGAGGCA